AUGACGGGUAUGAAGGCACCAGACGUGCUUGAGCUUACAGAAGCCGGACAUGCUAGAUGUCCUGCCCACGUUGUUGGACAUUGUAGUGAGCUGCCUGGACAGAAGAACGCGGCGCUACGCCACAAUGCCACGCAGCUACCAAGACCCGGGCAAGAUGAUGGCCAUGGUGAACCACUUGUCCCGGGAGGAGUCGGCGCCGACGUGGUUGUCAGGAGCGUGAUAUCGAACCCUCGGAAAUCCCUCUUGUCUCCAACCUACUGUUGCAAUGGUGCACAAGGACCUCCCGUCCCCAUCACCAUUCCGCCGAACAGGUGGUGUGCAUGCAUAAGCGACCUCCACGUCGACGUUCUCCGGCGCAUCAUCUCGCUCCUCCCCACCAAGGAUGGCGCCCGCACCCAGAUCCUCUCCACCAGGUGGCGCCCCCUCUUCCGCUCCGCCCCGCUCAACCUCGGCGUCGUUCUCCGCCGCGAAGACGAGCCCGUCCCCUCCAGCCUCGUCUCCCGCAUUCUCGCCGACCACCAGGCGCCCUGCCGCCGGCUCUCCCUUACCUGGUACGGCUACAAAUCUGACUAUGUCUCCCCAUUACUGAACGGCUGGCUCCAGUCACCAGCCUUCAAAGGCCUCUCUGAGUUCGAUCUGUGGCAAAACCGCAAGGAAAUCGGCAAGGAACUUUGGCUAGUGCCAAGGGAGGAGGUUCCAUAUGCACUGCCGCCGUCCGUGCUCCAGUUUUUACCCGCCCUCCACAUCCUCAGCAUCAAGUGCACCGGCUACAUGAUCCAUUUCCCCUCUGCGGCCACAUUGGCCGGCGAUCUACAUUUCCCCAAACUCAAGCAGCUCACACUUAAAGGUGUCGUCGUCUCGGAGGUCGUCCUCCACCGUGUUCUUGCUGGAUGCACUGCACUGGAGAGCUUGGUGCUUAGUGAAUUGGAUGGUGUCCGUGGUGUUCGGGUCAACUCGUCCACCCUUAGGAGGCUAGGUGUGUGGUCUGGUUGGCCAAAUGAACCGGAUGAAUUGUUGCAAGAAGUCAUUGUUGAGGAUGCCCCUCUCCUAGAAAAGUUGUUCCUGUCUGGACUAGAUUGUGACCUAUCAGUCCGUGUGCUUUGCGCACCCAAACUGGACUUCCUGGGUUCUCUGCCAGAAGGGUUCACCAAAGGCAAGCUUGAAACAAAUGUUCUUCAGGGAUUUCUCGCUGUCAAUUUGAUGAAUGUGGUGCGAGCCGUUAAAGUGUUGGUUCUGCGCAUUUCCCCUCCAAGUGUCGAUGAUGCCAUUGACUUUGUGACAUUCUUUCCUUGCUUGGAGAAGUUAUAUGUCUUGUUAUAUCGGACUGGGGCAUCAAAAAGAGCACGACACAGUUUUCCACUUGGCUAUAUUGAAUGUUUGGAGCUCCAUCUCAAAAAAGUAGUGCUGAUAAACUAUCAAGGAACACCUAGAGAUGUUGAUUUUGCAAGGUACUUUCUUUUGAAUGCAAAAGUGUUAGAACAUAUGGAGUUUGCAUCACGCACUGCAAUAAAUCGAAAGAAAUACAUUUCUGAAUGGAGAGCUGGCCAGCACAGAAAACUACAACUGGAUAACAGGGUUUCUCAAGGUGCUCAGUUUAAUUUUAGUUGUGACUCUUACUACGGAGACGAGAUACAUAUUGGGCACAUCCAUGAUCUGACUAUUAGCGAUCCCUUUGAUAGAUCAUCGUGUCGAUGCCAUGACGUUGAUUUCCUUUGA
Molecule: ribosomal RNA, 1716 nt
Filed under: Triticum aestivum (bread wheat)
Lineage: Eukaryota; Viridiplantae; Streptophyta; Magnoliopsida; Poales; Poaceae
Description: partial small subunit ribosomal RNA
Source: RNAcentral